RNAcentral lists this small nuclear RNA (104 nucleotides) under Spermophilus dauricus (Daurian ground squirrel). The record is from RNAcentral. Lineage: Eukaryota; Metazoa; Chordata; Mammalia; Rodentia; Sciuridae.
GUGCUCGCUUCCGCAGCACAUACACUAAAAUUGGAAUGAUACAGAGAUUAGCAUGGCCCCUGCACAAGGCUGACAUGCAAAUUCGUGAAGCGUUUCAUAUUAAA